RNAcentral lists this small nuclear RNA (107 nucleotides) under Moschus moschiferus (Siberian musk deer). Lineage: Eukaryota; Metazoa; Chordata; Mammalia; Artiodactyla; Moschidae. The record is from RNAcentral.
GUGCUCACUUUGGCGGCACAUACAUGAAAAUUAAAAUGAUAUAGAGAAGAAUAUCAUGGCUCCUGCGCAAGGAUGAAGCACAAAUUUGUGACGCAUUCCAUAUUUUU